UUUGGGAGCAACUCUACUCCUGCGAAGGGUCUGCGUGUUGUCCGUCUCGCCAAUCGUGCACCUUUCCCGAGGUGACACAGAGCGCUGAAGCACGGCCUCGGCCGAUGUUACUGCUGCUAGCCCUGGUUCUUGACGAACUCCAGUGUGCAACACACAUACACUCAGGCUGCGCUCGCACACGCCACAACCAGCGUAGCUUUUCGUUUCGUCAUAGUCUUGGAAGAGCACGUGCGGCGCCUCAUGUCCAACCAAGCAGCUCACGCAACCGAGGGGCCAGCGGCGCUAGCACGAUCCGGUCCAGCAUCCGCCUCUCCGUACCCGCCACCACCCUUCUCUACAAUGCAGCACACAUCGGCAAGCCCCGCGACUACGCCCCAAGCGUCGCCGAGCCCUGCGCACUCCUCGGCCGCGAUAGAGGAGCUUCUGCGUGAGAACACAGCUCUCAAGGCACGCCUCCAGCUGUCGGAUGAGCAGCGCGUAACGCAGGAAGUCCUGCGGGAGCAGCUCCACCGCUUCUUCGAGUGUGUCGCGGCGCACGAGCAGGCUAGUCAGAGGGUGCUAACAGACCAGCGGCAGGAUGACGGGGAGAAGAGCAACGCGCCAGAUGACGGCGCCGGGGUAGCCCGCCCUUCUUUUAUGAGCGCCGCCGUAUCAGAAGUCCUGCGCCGCAUGCAGGAGGAGAAGCAGCAGGCCGAGGCGGCCCUCGCGCAGCUGCAGAGCGACACGGUAGCUCCCCUGCAUGCGCAGCUGGAGGCAAUGGAGAAGGAGAAGCAGCAGCUCGUGGCGCGGGUAGCGGAGCUGGAGAUGUCCAUGUCGAGCACGCCCGCCCCGCCGCUGAUGGCUGAGCUGAGGCAGCUGAGGGAAACCGAAGCACUGCUACGACAGCAGCUGCAGGAGUGCCAAGCGUCCACCGCCGCCACCGUCGGCACAUUUCGGUCCACCGUAGAGAAUGGUCUUCUCGCUGCUCGGCAGGUUCCGGAGCUAAUCCACGCGAUGGAGACCAUCAAGGAGAAUGUCCGCACCAACCAGACAAUGCAGGCGGCCCAACGCGUGCUUCUUGAGGAGAUGGAGCGCCGACAUGCCAUCGAGCGCGAAAUCGAAGAGACGUACCGAAGGGAGGAGGCGAAAGUGCUGAGAGAGCGCAUCGCCAGCCUCAAGGAUGAAGUGAGUGCUGCCGCGGAACGCGAGGCAGCUUUCGCGUCGGAGCGGGGGGCCAUGGAGGCACAGCUGGCCGCCGCGCAGGACUCGAUUCGCCAGCUCACGCAGCAGCACAGCGAGGAGCAGGUGGCCUUAGCUCAGAAGCGCCAGCGGGCCGAGCAGGACGCGAGCAGCAACCCGACGUCGAUUCGUGGCGAGCUGACCAAGUUCUGGUACGAAGGCCGUGACCGCAUCCGCGAGCUGGAACGGCAGUUGCAGACGAUGCACACGGCAGAGGCCAACCUGCGCGUCUCGCAGGGCCGUGUCGCACAGCUCGAGCAGCGCAAGGCAGCCUUGCUCGGCAAUCUUGCCGCUCUCGCCGCGGAGGUAGAUCGCCGGCGCGAAGAGGAGAAGAAGCUGCGUGCUCAGUGUGCCGGCGUCGAGGCGGAGCGGGAUCGGCUGCUGAUGAGCGUCGCGAAGACCACCGGCUCACAUAUCUCGGAGACGGAGCUGCGAGACUGCUGCAGAACUAUCCGGGAGGCUGCGACACGGGUGGCGGCUGCGAGCGCCACUGUCGUAGCCGAUCCACAAGCCAUCGAGGAGGCGCUGCGCCGUGCACAGAAGCUGAAGAGCGAGGUGGCACAGCUUCAGCGGCAGAAGGACCAGCUUCAGCGCUUCCUCGAGCUUCAUGAGGAUCGUGUGCGGGCACUGCUGGAGCAGGAGGCGCUCCUGCUAGUGCGAGACUCGAAGGGCGGGCCUGCGACGGCCACCUCUCCGCAGAUGGGCAGCAACACAGCGAUCAAGGGAGCACUGGAGUCGGCGAGUACGACUGCCUUUUCGCUGCCACAGUUUCUCGAGCACAUCCGGCAAGGCGCCAACGAUGUCUUUCUCCAGAACGAGGAUGCCGCCGUGCGUGCCGUGAGGCCCGGUGGAAAGCGGGGCUCCAACAGACACGCCAACGCCAGCGGCGAAGUCAGCCAUGACAGCUCCGUGACACCGCACCGCGACUCCUUCUUGUCGCUGCACCAGCAGUUUGUCCAGAGUCAAGAGAGGCUGCUCGCCUCGCACCGUGACCUGCUUGAGGCGCGUAAUGAGAACCGACGUAUACAGGCUGAGCUGGACAGCACACGCAGCGAGCACGCGGCAGCUGCGGCGACAGAGGAGAAGGCGCGCCGCUCCUUGGAGGCGGCCAACGCGGCGCUCACGCACCGCACGACGAGCCUCACAAACGAACUGCAGGAGCUACAGCGUCACUACACCUCCGCAGUGACGAUGGUGCGCACUACGUUGGAGGGUCUGUCCAACGUGCUGCAGCUCUACCACCAGUCGGAGCUGCACGCGGAGAAGCUGCGCGAGAUGGUGCAGCAGGAGCGGCGGGACAUGAGUGACAUGCUACGGCGCGAGGCGGCGUCUUGGAGCGUCGGCACGGGCACUGACGGUCACACGAACGCACAAGAGGCUCAGCACUCGGCUGCGGCCGAGAGAAUCACGGCGGCGCUGCGGGACAUGGGGGCGUACAUCGCCGAGGCGGUGGCCGAGACCACCCGGCAGGCGACUCAGGACCAGACCAGCUACAUUGGGAAGCUCGUCAAGGCUAUUCAGCAGCAGGAGGAACAGGUGCAGGCAGCCAAGGCAGCCUUCGAGGCCUCGGCGCAGGCGCAGGCGCGCAGCCUGGCCGAUCGUAUCAGCGCCGCACAGCAGCAAUGGGAGUCGGAGUGGAAGGCCAAGUAUCAAGCCAUGGAGGCGGAGCGGAUGCAGAGCGUCAUGCAGCAGCACGCGAGCGUUGUUCUGCAGCGCGCACUGGAGCAGGCUGUGACGACGCCAGCAGCAGCAUCGUCUGCUGCGUCGCCGAACAGCACGGCGUCGGUGCCUCCGGAGGUGGAGGAGUCAGCGGUGCAUAUGGCCGACACCCUGCAGGUGAUUCGAAACUUUUUGGCGCAUGCCCGCCAGCGUCAAGCGCAGCAGCAGGAGCAGCUGCAGAAGCUGGAGCAACUAAAGCUUCUUCAGCAGCAGCAGCUACAGCAACAACAGAAGCAGACCGUCUCGGCACCAAUCUCACCUGCAACCGUGCAGACGGCGGCAGCCGCUACGUCGGUCGCCCCGGCCGGCGCACCGGCACCACCCGCCUCAACGGCUACCUCCCUUGCCACGGACGCUCAGCCACCUCAGUCGUUGACUCCUCCAUCGAUCAUCGCAACCGCCAAGAUAUCCAACGCGGGUGCCGAGCUAAGGACGGUUUCUUCGUCCACGGUGAAGGAGAACGACGGGGCGGAGACAAGCACCUCUUCCCCUCAGCUGCUCAGCGCCCCUGCAGUUUCAGCGCCAGCGACCGACUCUGACGCGCUCGCUGCCGAGCAUGCGACUCGCGAGGCGCCAGCGGAGAACGAAGAGGCUGAGGCAUCCACACAAGAAGCGGAGAUUUCCGGCGACUCAGGCCCCUCUGCGCCAUGGGACGAAGAGCAUCCAACCUCGCAUCCUGCUACUCCAGAUGCGCAGCUUGACGAGACGGAUGUGCAGGCAGAGCCGCAAGAAUCGAUGGAGGAUGCGACUGCAGGUGCCUCACAGCGGGGCGCCGAGGAGGAGAACGAAGAGGCGCUGCCCAGCCCGCCCUCCUCCGGCAGCGAGGAAGGCGAUGAGCAGGAAGAGAAGAAUUCGGAAGAGGAUGCCUGAUGCAGAUGAGGUUGCUGCGGCGCUUUAUGAUGCUGCAUGUCCCCUCCCUCUCUCUUUCCCUCUCUUUUUGCGUGUGUGCGCGCCGGUGCCGCAGCCGUGAUGAUGCUAAUAAAGGAAACAACAGGAGGCCAGAAAACGAGUAGCGUUGCCGCCUGCGUGUCUGCAUUGUGUGCUGCACCUGCGCUGCCCUCCCCCCGUCCCCUCCUCUCUCGCAGUUUCGGCCUUUGUUGGCCUUCCUUUGUGGGUGGGCCCGUAUAGACCAGGGGGCGCGGCUAACGCACAGCCACUCGCGUGCGAUAAAGAUGUCGAUGGAUACGGCAGGUAAAAGGGUAAGUCGGGCCCGGGUGUUCAGUGGAGCGCAACCAUUUUGCCGCCCUAUAUGCAGGCCGGCUGCUGCUGUGCCUCCUCGUUGCCUCGCUCUCUCG
Molecule: unclassified non-coding RNA, 4232 nt
Filed under: Leishmania donovani
Lineage: Eukaryota; Euglenozoa; Kinetoplastea; Trypanosomatida; Trypanosomatidae
Description: gene:LdHU3.10.0900(CDS-product:hypothetical_prote in_conserved)
Source: RNAcentral